GCUUCGACUUCCCCGGCCAAAUCCGGCCGAUCCGGCCACCAAUUGGACCGGGUCUUGUGUCCAAAAUCAUCUACUCGGCGAGAGCUUUCCAUAGACACCAAGAACGCCGAAAUCCAUCGAGCGGAUUGUCCGAUUUUUGCUCGGGAAGAUUUUAGCCCAUUUCGACUUUUGGGCUAGAUUUCUCGAAAACCGUGAAUCCCACGAGAAAACCGAGGCCACCAGCACGCUCCAUUCGUCGAGAGCUUCGCAACGACAUAAAUUUCGAAUUUUUCCGACACCGUUUUUCGGUAUCCUCGAUUCGCGGAAAUUCGACAGUUGACCGGGUCUGCAAAUUUCAGGCCAGACAGACCCGUUACCGGAAAAGUCCCCGAAUUGGACCGAGGUUUUGGCUAGCCCCCCAUUGUCAGACGUCCCGAGCGCGUUCCCGAAGUCGGAAUCGGCAAAGGUGAGCCGGGACAGCCUUCUUCCUCCGCCCAGCCGCCACAGUAAUUUGUCGUCCAGUUUGUGAGUAAAAUAUUAAUUUUAAUUGUAAUUUCGAUAUUAUUAUAUGUUCAGCAUGCCCAUGCAUCACUU
Molecule: long non-coding RNA, 573 nt
Organism: Hevea brasiliensis (rubber tree)
Lineage: Eukaryota; Viridiplantae; Streptophyta; Magnoliopsida; Malpighiales; Euphorbiaceae
Exons: 3
Source: RefSeq, a predicted model, not a curated record